Molecule: ribosomal RNA, 1257 nt
Filed under: Pungtungia herzi
Lineage: Eukaryota; Metazoa; Chordata; Actinopteri; Cypriniformes; Gobionidae
Description: partial 16S ribosomal RNA
Rfam family: Bacterial large subunit ribosomal RNA
Source: RNAcentral
AAAGAGACCUUUAGUUUGAAACCCCGAAACCAGGUGAGCUACCCCGAGACAGCCUAUUAAAAUUAGGGCUAACCCGUCUCUGUGGCAAAAGAGUGGGAAGAGCUCCGGGUAGAAGUGACAGACCUACCGAACCUGGUGAUAGCUGGUUGCCUAAGAGAUGGAUAGAAGUUCAGCCUCGUACAUCCCCAAAUCAGAAAUCUUUAAUCAAGAUAAAUAGAGAAAAGUACGAGAGUUAGUUAAAGGGGGUACAGCCCCUCUAACAAAGGAUACAACCUUCGCAGGAGGAUAAAGAUCAAAAUACAUAAAAUACUCUGUUCUAGUGGGCCUAAAGGCAGCCACCUAAAUAGAAAGCGUUAAAGCUCAGACAGAAAAAAAUUUAUUAUACUGAUAAUAAAUCUUAUUCCCCUAAUAAUAUUAGGCCACCCCAUGCCCCCAUGGAAGAAAUUAUGCUAAAAUGAGUAACAAGAAGAUUUGCUCUUCUCCGAGCACAAGUGUAAACCAGAUCGGACAAGCCACUGGAAAUUAACGAGCCCAACCAAAGAGGGUAAUGUGGACAACAGAAAAACCAAGAAAACACCACAACUUAAAUAUCGUUAGACCCACACUGGAGUGCUACAUACUAAAGGAAAGACUAAAAGAAAGGGAAGGAACUCGGCAAACACAAGCCUCGCCUGUUUACCAAAAACAUCGCCUCCUGCAAAUUAUAAGUAUAGGAGGUCCAGCCUGCCCAGUGACUACGGGUUCAACGGCCGCGGUAUUUUGACCGUGCAAAGGUAGCGCAAUCACUUGUCUUUUAAAUAGAGACCUGUAUGAAUGGCCAAACGAGGGCUUAACUGUCUCCCCCUUCAAGUCAGUGAAAUUGAUCUAUCCGUGCAGAAGCGGGUGUAAUAAUACAAGACGAGAAGACCCUUUGGAGCUUAAGGUACAAGACUCAACCACGUCAAACAACUUAAUAAAGACCAUAAACUUAGUGGGAAAUGAAGAUUUACCUUCGGUUGGGGCGACCGCGGAGGAAAAACCAGCCUCCGAGUGGAAUGGGCCAAAUCCCUAAAACCAAGAGAAACAUCUCUAAGUCACAGAAUAUCUGACCAAAAAUGAUCCGGCACACAGCCGAUCAAGCGGACCAAGUUACCCUAGGGAUAACAGCGCAAUCCUCUCCCAGAGUCCAUAUCGACGAGAGGGUUUACGACCUCGAUGUUGGAUCAGGACAUCCUAAUGGUGCAGCCGCUAUUAAGGUUCGUUUGUUCCAACGAUUAA